RNAcentral lists this ribosomal RNA (641 nucleotides) under uncultured Actinomycetes bacterium. Its description in RNAcentral is "bacterial SSU rRNA". It matches the Rfam family "Bacterial small subunit ribosomal RNA", at positions 232 to 884 of the family's 1533-position model. Lineage: Bacteria; Bacillati; Actinomycetota; Actinomycetes. The record is from RNAcentral.
CGCGGCCUAUCAGCUUGUUGGUGAGGUAAUGGCUCACCAAGGCGACGACGGGUAGCCGGCCUGAGAGGGCGACCGGCCACACUGGGACUGAGACACGGCCCAGACUCCUACGGGAGGCAGCAGUAGGGAAUAUUGGGCAAUGGGCGCAAGCCUGACCCAGCGACGCCGCGUGAGGGAUAAAGGUCUUCGGAUUGUAAACCUCUUUCAGUAGGGAAGAAGCGAAAGUGACGGUACCUAAAGAAGAAGCACCGGCUAACUAUGUGCCAGCAGCCGCGGUAAUACAUAGGGUGCAAGCGUUGUCCGGAAUUAUUGGGCGUAAAGAGCUCGUAGGUCGUUUGUCGCGUCGAUUGUGAAAAUCUGAGGCUCAACCUCAGACCUGCAGUCGAUACGGGCAAACCAGAGUGUGGUAGGGGAGACUGGAAUUCCUGGUGUAGCGGUGGAAUGCGCAGAUAUCAGGAGGAACACCAAUGGCGAAGGCAGGUCUCUGGGCCAUAACUGACACUGAGGAGCGAAAGUGCGGGGAGCGAACAGGAUUAGAUACCCUGGUAGUCCGCACCGUAAACGGUGGGCACUAGUUGUGGGAACCUUCCACGGUUUCCGCGACGCAGCAAACGCAUUAAGUGCCCCGCCUGGGGAGUACG